CUCAAGCCUCUCAUCAUCCACACAUGAUACUAGAGCAGGGUUGUCAUUGCUGAUGGAUGCAAUUAUACCCGUGUGUGGAUCCUCUCCAUCAACAUCAAAAACUGUGAAUUCAGGUCCAAAGUCACAAAACACAGAACCAAAAAGACCUCUAACUUCAGCCUUAAUGAAAGAGAUAGGCGGCUUAUGACUAUGGCAGUAGUCAUUAAACUCAAUGGCCUUCUUAAGAUUGAUAUCAGUAAAAACAACAGCCUGGAAAUCAGAAAGUUUCUCUUUUGUUAGUUCCGUAGUUAAGGUCGAAACAACCACUGCAUUAUUGAGUUCCUGCAACUUCUGAACAGAAGCUAAUGCCCUGUUCUUUCCAACAUCUUUCUCAGAAAAAACAAAAUUACCGGAUAAAUCCCACAGCUCAACCUCCCCUUCAUCGUGCAAUGCUAUAGACUUGACCCCAGCAAGAAUAAGGUUUUUAGCAAUCUCAGCACCAAGACCUUGCAUGCCCGAGACUAGGACAUUGGAGGCAAAAAGCCGCCGCAUGGUUUCACGGCCAUACACAGCAAGUUGCCGGCUGUGCAGAUCCUCAUCAAUAUCACCCAGAUUUGCAUCACCAGGCGCCAUAAUCAAAUCGCUACUACUGUUGUCGCUGUUGUUGCCAACGAUGCUAGUGUUGAUGUUGUUGGUGGUAGUUGUAGCGUUUUCCGUUGAUUCCAAAACGCAACCGAACCGAUGCUUCUUAAUCGAGGUAGAACCUGCUGUUUUGCUUCCGUUCUCUUCUUCUCCUUCUACAAGCACGCAGUCAACAGGCCGCUUUCUUGGAAGCAUAAAGUACAGUAAACUGCCUAACAAGCCACAAAACCCAAUAGAAAUUGUUAAAAUGGGAACCACCCCAGAGAAUUUGCGAUUAGAAAACAUUAAUCCCUCAAAGAUCGGCGCCAAAACUAUAAACCCUAACCCUAGUUUAAGGUUCCACAUGAUUCCAAGGCAAAGAUGGCAAGCAAAAGAAAGAUCAUUAACAAUCUAACAAGGAGAAAGAAACGUACCGACUAGGAUUGUGAUUUGAGGAACAAUAACACGAAAUUGGAUAAGAGGAAGCGAGCGAAAGAGGCAAAUUUGGUUCUAAUUCGUUUCUUGAAGUGUAGUACUAAGUGAUUUUUGCUUCAUUUAUACAAAGGGAAACGGAAAAGGGCAUAUGUGGAUUUUGAACAAGAGUAGGGUUAUGGGCUAAGGACAGAUCCUGUUUGGCGGAGUCGCUACUGUACUAUACAUCAUCAUCUUCUACACGUUUUGAGAGAACGAGGGGCUUUUGGCGUGGACAUAGAGAGGAGAGGAAGAUGGUUGUUGUGCUUGUGUGGGGCCUGCGAGAGAUAUCAACGGUGGAUGAUUCAACCAUGUGAUGAAUGUGAAGUCGCUUAACUGUACAAAAUUCGGAGAUUUAUGUGGUUACCAGCUUAAGAGAAAGUGAGUUUUCAAAUUUGAGUCUAAUAAAUGAGUUAUAUAUUUUAACAUUAGAUUAAAUUAAACUAAAUACCUAUGGCACUGA
RNAcentral lists this unclassified non-coding RNA (1534 nucleotides) under Hevea brasiliensis (rubber tree). The record is from RNAcentral. Lineage: Eukaryota; Viridiplantae; Streptophyta; Magnoliopsida; Malpighiales; Euphorbiaceae.